GUUAGAGUUAAGACCUGCCAAAUAUGGGGUACAUUGAUGUUGUGGAAGGCUUAUGCAUUGUAUGAUCAUAUAAUGUAACUAAACCCCCAUAAUUUUUGCCUAGAUUAGGUGUUUUUAAAAAAACUAAUAAAAUCUGUCAACAUUGAAGUUGCUGUUUAGCGUGUGCUGCGAUCAGCUCAGACUCUCAGCCAAUGAGCUGGC
This is a non-coding RNA of Pelobates cultripes (western spadefoot toad), 201 nucleotides long. The record is from the annotation of a GenBank genome assembly. NCBI's taxonomy places the organism in Eukaryota, Metazoa, Chordata, Amphibia, Anura, Pelobatidae.